Long non-coding RNA from Empidonax traillii (willow flycatcher), 104 nucleotides. RefSeq lists it as uncharacterized. Lineage: Eukaryota; Metazoa; Chordata; Aves; Passeriformes; Tyrannidae. The record is from RefSeq and is a predicted model, not a curated record. The transcript has 3 exons.
AGAGACUAGAUUCUUUGAUGUAUUUAUUAAACUGUAUUAAUUGAUGCUCUUAAAUUAUCAGCAGGACUUGGUUCUCUUGCUUGUGGCCAUGCAGAGAAGGCUAA